UACGAAGGGGGCUAGCGUUGCUCGGAAUUACUGGGCGUAAAGGGCGCGUAGGCGGCUUGGCCAGUCAGGCGUGAAAUUCCUGGGCUUAACCUGGGGACUGCGCUUGAUACUGCCAGGCUUGAGGCCGAGAGAGGGUGGUGGAAUUCCCAGUGUAGAGGUGAAAUUCGUAGAUAUUGGGAAGAACACCGGUGGCGAAGGCGACCACCUGGCUCGGUACUGACGCUGAGGCGCGACAGCGUGGGGAGCAAACAGGAUUAGAUACCCCCGUAGUCC
Molecule: ribosomal RNA, 273 nt
Filed under: uncultured bacterium
Lineage: Bacteria
Description: partial 16S ribosomal RNA
Rfam family: Bacterial small subunit ribosomal RNA
Source: RNAcentral